UCCCAAAGUCAUGGUUAAGUGGGAAACGAUGUGGGAAGGCCCAGACAGCCAGGAUGUUGGCUUAGAAGCAGCCAUCAUUUAAAGAAAGCGUAAUAGCUCACUGGUCGAGUCGGCCUGCGCGGAAGAUGUAACGGGGCUAAACCAUGCACCGAAGCUGCGGCAGCGACGCUUAUGCGUUGUUGGGUAGGGGAGCGUUCUGUAAGCCUGUGAAGGUGUACUGUGAGGUAUGCUGGAGGUAUCAGAAGUGCGAAUGCUGACAUAAGUAACGAUAAAGCGGGUGAAAAGCCCGCUCGCCGGAAGACCAAGGGUUCCUGUCCAACGUUAAUCGGGGCAGGGUGAGUCGACCCCUAAGGCGAGGCCGAAAGGCGUAGUCGAUGGGAAACAGGUUAAUAUUCCUGUACUUGGUGUUACUGCGAAGGGGGGACGGAGAAGGCUAUGUUGGCCGGGCGACGGUUGUCCCGGUUUAAGCGUGUAGGCUGGUUUUCCAGGCAAAUCCGGAAAAUCAAGGCUGAGGCGUGAUGACGAGGCACUACGGUGCUGAAGCAACAAAUGCCCUGCUUCCAGGAAAAGCCUCUAAGCAUCAGGUAACAUCAAAUCGUACCCCAAACCGACACAGGUGGUCAGGUAGAGAAUACCAAGGCGCUUGAGAGAACUCGGGUGAAGGAACUAGGCAAAAUGGUGCCGUAACUUCGGGAGAAGGCACGCUGAUAUGUAGGUGAAG
This 721-nucleotide non-coding RNA is filed under the name Enterobius vermicularis (human pinworm). RNAcentral's name for it is "Bacterial large subunit ribosomal RNA". It matches the Rfam family "Bacterial large subunit ribosomal RNA", at positions 1045 to 1767 of the family's 2925-position model. The record is from Rfam by way of RNAcentral. Lineage: Eukaryota; Metazoa; Nematoda; Chromadorea; Rhabditida; Oxyuridae.